GGCGAUACCCGAAUGGGGAAACCCAGUGUGAUUCGUCACACUAUCAUUAACUGAAUCCAUAGGUUAAUGAGGCGAACCGGGGGAACUGAAACAUCUAAGUACCCCGAGGAAAAGAAAUCAACCGAGAUUCCCCCAGUAGCGGCGAGCGAACGGGGAGGAGCCCAGAGCCUGAAUCAGCAUGUGUGUUAGUGGAAGCGUCUGGAAAGGCGCGCGAUACAGGGUGACAGCCCCGUACACAAAAGCGCAUGUGCUGUGAGCUCGAUGAGUAGGGCGGGACACGUGGUAUCCUGUCUGAAUAUGGGGGGACCAUCCUCCAAGGCUAAAUACUCCUGACUGACCGAUAGUGAACCAGUACCGUGAGGGAAAGGCGAAAAGAACCCCGGCGAGGGGAGUGAAAAAGAACCUGAAACCGUGUACGUACAAGCAGUGGGAGCACCCUUUGGGUGUGACUGCGUACCUUUUGUAUAAUGGGUCAGCGACUUAUAUUCUGUAGCAAGGUUAACCGAAUAGGGGAGC
RNAcentral lists this ribosomal RNA (516 nucleotides) under Salmonella enterica subsp. enterica serovar Enteritidis. RNAcentral's name for it is "partial 23S ribosomal RNA". It matches the Rfam family "Bacterial large subunit ribosomal RNA", at positions 106 to 666 of the family's 2925-position model. Lineage: Bacteria; Pseudomonadati; Pseudomonadota; Gammaproteobacteria; Enterobacterales; Enterobacteriaceae. The record is from RNAcentral.